UGGAAAUAGUCUGGGACAGUGAGACAGUUC
This 30-nucleotide non-coding RNA is filed under the name Rattus norvegicus (Norway rat). Lineage: Eukaryota; Metazoa; Chordata; Mammalia; Rodentia; Muridae. The record is from RNAcentral.